Molecule: unclassified non-coding RNA, 226 nt
Filed under: Hevea brasiliensis (rubber tree)
Lineage: Eukaryota; Viridiplantae; Streptophyta; Magnoliopsida; Malpighiales; Euphorbiaceae
Source: RNAcentral
UGAAUGGACGUCUCCAUUUGAAGGGAAAGAUAUCUUUACUUUACCCAGACAGUUUGUUUCAUCUCCUUCACUGUAGGGUGGGGCGGUAUGAUUUCAAUGAAUAAAAUAGAGAAAAAAAAACUGGAAAAUAUGUUGAAUUUGAUAUUGGUUCUUAUCGUACUAUUGUUGAUUGUUGUUGAAUAUCCAUAUAAUUGGAAAAAAAAAAAAUGGCAUCCGAUAGUCCUCU